This 6348-nucleotide unclassified non-coding RNA is filed under the name Anneissia japonica. Its description in RNAcentral is "uncharacterized LOC117108132, transcript variant X1". The record is from RNAcentral. Lineage: Eukaryota; Metazoa; Echinodermata; Crinoidea; Comatulida; Comatulidae.
AAUGGAUCAAUAAAAUACUAGCCUAGCCUGGCUUAGCCUUUAAAGCACGGAGAUUUUCCAUCUACUUUACCUGCAAGCAACUAUCUGUUAUGUCAUUUUAUUAAUAUGAAUUGCAAGAUUAACUUCAGUGAAUUAGAAAGAGAAAAUGAGAAAUUGGCCCAAGACAUCGAUGAAAUUCAACAUGUUCUUGCAGUUCACAAGAAUGGAAGUAAUACAGCUCAACGUGCAACAUCAUCAAUAUGGGGUGCUGGAGGAAAAGGACCAUUAUCUGGGUUCAAAUCCAGAAAAUCUAUUGUAGACAAGAGCAAUAAAUUGAAAGUAAAAGAAGUAAAAAAUUCACCAGAGGCUACUAUACCACGUACUAAAAACAGGCAAUUUGAUGAUAGAAGUAAAUUGAAAGUUGGCGAAAAACAAUCGCAGUUGAAAUCUACUGCCGAAAAGCGUGGAGAAUGGAAGAGAAUGCAAUCCAGAAGAGUUUCUUUUAAUAUUGAUGACACUCCUAAGAACGAAUUGCAUGAUGGGAUACAUGAAGGCACUAACCGUCACUCAGACUCAGUUGAUACUACCAACGUGGUGAGAGUAUCUGGUGACGAUUCUGCAAACGUGGCGAGAGGACCUGGUGAUGAUCCUGCCCACGUGAUGAGCGAAUCUUGUCACGAGACAACAGAAGAAAAAAUAGCAGCUUUGAAGGUUAAGGUUCUCGCGAAAGCAAGUUCUAAAGUCAAACUCGAAAUGAAGAAGAAAAAGGAUCCAGAUAUUUUCAAGAAAGAAAAUAAAAGUUCACAACAAUUACAAAGUACAAAUAUUAGCAGAUCAAAAUCUGCAACAGCAAGAAAGUCCAGAAUCAAUUUGACAUCAAAAACAAGAGAGAAGUCUAUAGAUAGUGAAAUAACAAGUAUUUCUUGUGAAUCUCCAAAUCAUGAUUUUUCAACAUUUACCAAAGACAUCGAUAUACUAUAUCAUGCGACUGAAGCCCCUAAAAGAGGGGACACAGGGUUGGUUGGUGAAAAAAAGGGAAGUGGUUUAAUUGGACAAUCACAUAAUACGGAUUCAAUAAAUGAACCAGCUCCAGAAGUGAUAGACUGGUUGGAACAGUUUAAAAUACAAGAUGAAGACUGUUAUCAAAAUCUGAUAGAAGUCAUCACAACCAACAACCUCAUGCCAGAAAAACUUGAUGCCAUGAAGGAGAAAGACUGGAUUGAUCUUGGUUUUAAUGAUCUCUCAUGUGUGUCACAUAUUUUAAAAGGAAUUCACAAGCCACAAGUUAAUAAUAAUCAGGAAUUUGAACAGACUUUUACAAAAACUGAUCAUUUGGAGAAAGUGGAAGAUCCAAAAAAAGAUAUAGACACUGGUAACAACGCUUUAAAAUCGGCAAAGAUUCGAACUCAUUCAGCGACAAAUGUGACGAAACAACAUAAGGUGACAGAUAAGAAGGCUAGACCAUCAAGUGCAAUAAAUAUACGCUCUUCAAAUCAUCAACAAAAGAUUAAGAGGGACAAUGUUACGGGUUCAGAGAGAGGUAGUUUAAAGUCAACAUCAAUACAUGGAGCUGUUGUCAUAGCAACAAAAACAGGAGUUCCUAAAGUAUCCCAAAAAUUAAAAGAGAAACAGGAACAAGAACAAGAAAUCAAGAAAAAGAAAAUGAAGGAAGCAUUACAAAGAAAGACAGAAAGAGAUAAAAUGGCAGCUCAACAUCAAAAAAGAUUGGUUGAAAAGGAGAAAAUGUUGCAUGAGAUUAAAGAAAAUGAGGAUGAAAAAGAUAUCAGUGACUUGACUGAAAGAACAGAGCCUAAAGAGUUGUCUCUAGUAGCCCAAGGUAUUGCACUACCAGAAAGUUAUUCUCAAAGCAGAGAUGUGUAUUCAGUUGGUGAUUGUAGUGAGCCCUCUAUUCACAGCGGCGAUGUACAUGGCAGUGCAAGAAGUGCUAAACAUUUAACAGGUGAUCAGUUGAAAAAGAUAGAGCUACAGGUGAUUGGCUUACAAGAAAAUCUCAAGAUUGGAGACAGCUCUGUGGAAAGCAAUAUACUUAGGCUCCAGAAACAGCUGUCAGACAUACAAAGAGAAUUACAUGCACAGCCUGUGAAAGAGUCUAGCAAGUCUGAAAAAACAUCACCAGGGAAAGUAAAGAAAGAGAAGAAAAGCCCAGACACGUUGCACAGCAGAACUGAACUGAUGCGAGAGGUGAGGAAACAGAAAGAGCAACACAGGAAAGAAAUCAGGAUGUUAGAGUCUGAGCUUAGUCGGCUCAAACACCGUGAUCCAGUGAAGACAUGUGAAUUAUCCGAAGAAGAUAUAAACUUUAGUGAUAAAGAUAUUAUAGGAGAAGGAGCAUUCUCUCAAGUUUUCCACGGAAAGUUCAAUGGGUCAGAGGUCGCCAUAAAACGACUGAAGCAUUCACUUUCAUCGAGUGAUAAAAACUAUUUCGCUGAAGAGGUGCACCUUUUACAUGGACUGCGUCACCCCCGGAUUGUUUUGUUGAUAGGAGUGUGUACUACCGGUAAGCUACCUAUAAUGGUACUGGAGUACAUGGCAUCUGGAAGUCUGCAUCAACACCUGCAUGACAGAAGCAUACCCAGGUUAGACCAUGUGUCAUACUACCGGAUUAGCAAGGAUAUUGCACUCGGUAUGACUUACUUACACCGCCAUAAGCCACCGGUUCUUCACCUUGAUCUGAAGUCUCUCAACAUUCUUCUUAACGCCUAUGGACGGGCAAAGAUAGCUGAUUUUGGCUUCUCAAAACUUAAGCAUGAUGCAGAAGAGUUAAGUGGUCUUCGAGGCACACCUGCAUGGAUGGCACCAGAGCUUCUUGAUCCAGCCUUUGGUGAACUGUCUAUAAAGGCUGAUGUGUACAGCUUUGGUGUUAUACUUUGGGAGAUGCUUACUAGGGAAACACCAUAUAAAGGAGUCGGUGUAUUUCAGAUUCUGGAAUGUAUACGCAACAGUAAGAGACCAGAAAUACCAGAAUAUUGCCCAGACCCAUUGAAGGGUCUGAUUAACAGAUGCUGGAAACAAAAGCCUAACCAGCGACCCUCAUUCAAGGAAAUUCUGAUCUCAUUGGAGGGUUUACAAAUCCCUUUAGAGUGGCGAUCUCUAUUGUCAUCAGCAGGUAUCCCCCAUGAAGUAAUGGAAGAUCCCAAUUCAGCAAGAUCCAUUAUAAACUUAAUCAACCAAUCAGUGGACAUCCCAGUGCCACAACUAAAUGAACUAUCAUUGCAGUCACAUGAUGAGCUGAUUAAACAGGAUCACUCAUUGGCAGAUGGACGUGACAUAAUGGCAGAACCAGCCAUUUCAGGAAAUCAAACUAUGACAACAACUGAUAGAGCACCACCCCCUCCACCGUUAGUAAACUUGGCAAGAUUCAUCGAAGAACAAACAAAAAGAAUUAGUGAACCAAGACCUGUCCAUCCAGCCCAAGGGGUGUCAAAAUGUGUAAAAAGCUCCCAAAAUUCAAAGCCAUUUGCUGUACCGGCUUCAGAGCUUGCUGAUCAGAAACUGAUGCUGAAGUCCACAACGCAGGGUCCACACCCGAGCCAACUUAAAAACCUCAGCAACAUCACCAAGCAGAAGUUCACAUCAAUUGCAGAAGUCUUAAGACAGUCUGUAAAUAAUCGGAGGUUUGCAAUGAAGAUGCAGAAUGAUAGCAUUGACCAGUCCACUCUAGAUAGCAACUGGUCAGUUUCAAGCACUUAAGUGAUCGACUAGACCACCAACUGGAAGUUGAUAAAAUCCAGAGACAGUUGCAACCAGAUUUGUUUGCUAGAAUAAUAGUUUGUCCAGUCCACAACUGGUCAGUCAGUGGUGCAUAAUUGAGUUAUCUUUAUCACAUAUUAUAUUUUGCUGUACAGCACAGAAUUUAUUAUAUAAUUACGUAAAAUGAAUCCCCAAAAAUAUGCUUUUGGAGUUCCUAAAUAAUUUUAGGAUAUGUCAGGUGUGGCGCCAGUGGGGGGCACCCCCAUGUCAGGUAGUGCUGGCCCCGCCGUCGGGGUGAAAAAGCACAAUUCGUCGGGGAGAAAAAAAAAUUAUAUUUAUUUUCUACAUAUUAAUAGUCUCUAAAAUGGAUUUAAUAAGCCUUUGAAACCCCUAAAUUGUUACAAUUUUCAGGGCCUUUGCCCCCUGGACCACUUUCAAAACCUUUUAAUCGAAGCUCGACCACGCCCACAUUGCUUUCGUCUGGGGAAUCUGACCCCUCGUCGAGGGCAUCAUCCCCUCGUCGCGGACCUUGCCCCCUACCCCCCCCCCCCCCUGUGAGAUUGCUCUGACCAUCAUCAGGAGAAUGAUAAAAGAUGACUUCUGUUGGUCUUAAAUAAAGAUGGUAAUCGUCGAUGAAUUUUGUAAGACCAGUGGGAACGAUGUUGGAGUCCCUGCAUCUUUUGGAGAAAGUAUGGCCAUUGAUGAGUUUUGAUUGCUUGAUAUAAUUGCGUUCUUAGCUUUUUAAGCCAGACACUCACUGUGGAUUCUAUGGAGAACACAACGCCACGAUGCACGCACAACGGAUCCUUUUCAAUGACGAUCCGUUCAGACUGCCAUUAACAAUCAGCAGACAGUGUCACGUUGUCAAUGCACAAUGUAGUGAGUGCCCAGCUUCAACGCUCUUGUGCGGUUGCUCCCCGUAGAGCUCAACAAAAUAUUUUUUGAAGGUUUGCAUGGCGAGUAUUAUUAACAAAAUCAUUAAACUUUUGGUAAACCACCUGUAAAAUAGAAGUAUGGUUUGUGAGGUUAAACCACUGGUUGGUUGUCUCAGUGUUUUGAUGGAAUGCUCUGACUGUCAUCAGAAAAAUUUAUGUAAUCUAUGUAUUAUUAUACUUUCUGUUAUUUAACCAUUAAUUGAUGUGCUGAUAUUUAUGUUACUUAAAUUGUUAUUUAUCAAUAUAUUUAUUCCUAAGAUAAAAACUAUAUUAUCAAUGACAUUAGUGCUAUUAAGACUUCUUUCAUACAUAAAAGUGUGUAACUCACAUUUACAAGAGGACGACAUUUAGAUCAGAUAAACAUAGGCCCUAUGCCAUGUGGUUUGUAUAUCUUCACUUUCAACACUGACAUGCCUAGUUGAAGCUACGAUAUGGCAUAUUGGUCCAAUUGAUACUUUCAAAAAAUGUGAAACUUUGUUUUCGUUCAACAAUUUAAAAUAUUUUAAUGGUUUACUGUGACAUUGAGGUACUCAAAAUAUUGCAGACUCUUUGUACUUAUAUUGAUUUUGUGUGCAAUAAUUUACUUGAUACUUUGACAUUCCAUAACAUCAAGUACUAUUUCUGCCGAUAUAAUGGAUAAUUAGUUAGUAAUUGUGAGUUUUGUGAUUUAAUUCCAUUAUAAAGUGUUUGUAAUCUAUAGAGUAUGAUAUAUAUACUAUACUUACAUUAAGAUUUUUGUGGAUUUUAUUAUACUAUUGUGUGUUAAUAGACUUGUAUAUGAUAUGGAUUAUUGAUUAUGAAUAUCAUGCUUUGUGAAAAACUGUUGUGUAGAACUUGGUUGUUUGAUGUAUUCUUUGUCAGUUGUUCGUCCCAUAUUUCAUGGAGUCAACUAAGAAAGUAUAAUACAUACUCCAAGUAUUGAAAUGAUUGGAGCAUUUAUUACAUACAAAUGAUGUGUUGAAAAGGGGAAUCUAUUCAUCAUAAAAAUGCUUAGCAUUUUCUCAAAUAUAGGCCUAUGAACGGUAGGCUUACAUACCUAGUGAUGGCAAUUUUGAAUUUUGAGGGUUUAUGGUUUUGCAAUACGUUGGUAAAAUUAUCACAAAACAAGGAGGUAUUUGGAAUUUUUUUUUCAGUCUGAUGAAGUCUAAGAAAAUGUUUGGUUCUGAAUAUAUUGGAUGGCAGUUUGGUGCAGCAGUUGCAGUUCGGACUUUCAAUCGUAAGGUCGGGGUUUUGAGUCUCCGCUGUGCAGAUCAGCUUGUAUCCUUAGUCAAGGCACUUUAGCUACAUUGCUUCAGUCCACCCAGCUGUAUCAAUGGAUACCAGCAAACUGCUGGGGACUAACCUGCGACGGACUAGUGUCCCGUCCAUGGGGAGUACAACUCUCAUCCGCUUUACACUACGAAAACUGGGGAUAAGCUCCAGCCCAUUGAGCCUCUAGUGGCUCUGGAAGGAUUUAGUUUUAGUUUUUCUGAAUAAAUUAGCUUUUGUUCUAAGUCUGAUGGCUUCUAUAUGUAAUCACGAAACACUUGGCAUAACGAAUAGGUAAGGCAAUUCUAAGUUUGAACUGCGGAUUCAAGGUCAAUUGACAUAAACCUGUUGUGUGUAUGUGUUUGUUUAUGUUGACUAACCCUGAUACGGGCAUGUACAGUUUUCAAAUUGUGAAUCGCCUUAUUUGCUAAGAAAGGAUAUACUGUAAUAAAUAACAAUGUAGUGACACUCUUUA